GACGAACGCUGGCGGCGUGCUUAACACAUGCAAGUCGAACGGAAAGGCCCUGCUUUUGUGGGGUGCUCGAGUGGCGAACGGGUGAGUAACACGUGAGUAACCUGCCCUUGACUUUGGGAUAACUUCAGGAAACUGGGGCUAAUACCGGAUAGGAGCUCCUGCUGCAUGGUGGGGGUUGGAAAGUUUCGGCGGUUGGGGAUGGACUCGCGGCUUAUCAGCUUGUUGGUGGGGUAGUGGCUUACCAAGGCUUUGACGGGUAGCCGGCCUGAGAGGGUGACCGGCCACAUUGGGAAUGAGAUACAGCCCAAGCUCCUACGGGGGGCCACGGUCGGGAAUAAUGCACAACGGGACGAAGCCUGAAGCAGCAACGCCACGUGCGGGAUAACGGCCUUCGGGUUGUAAACCGCUUUCGCCUGUGACGAAGCGUGAGUGACGGUAAUGGGUAAAGAAGCACCGGCUAACUACGUG
Molecule: ribosomal RNA, 468 nt
Filed under: uncultured bacterium
Lineage: Bacteria
Description: partial 16S ribosomal RNA
Rfam family: Bacterial small subunit ribosomal RNA
Source: RNAcentral